Molecule: small nucleolar RNA, 83 nt
Filed under: Zea mays
Lineage: Eukaryota; Viridiplantae; Streptophyta; Magnoliopsida; Poales; Poaceae
Description: Zm_20
Source: RNAcentral
AAGCUGUGACGAAAAGCAGUAGCACUGGUGGGUCCGGGGCUUUCUCCUGAACCUUUGAAGACAUAUACGCGUAUCUGAGCUUG